AUACGUAGGUGGCGAGCGUUGUCCGGAAUUACUGGGCGUAAAGGGCGCGUAGGCGGAUCGUUAAGUUGGACGUGAAAUACCCCGGCUCAACUGGGGGGCGACGUCCAAAACUGGCGGACUAGAGUGCAGGAGAGGAAAGUAGAAUUCCCAGUGUAGCGGUGAAAUGCGUAGAUAUUGGGAGGAAUACCGGUGGCGAAGGCGGCUUUCUGGACUGUAACGGACGCUGAGGCGCGAAAGCUGGGGGAGCGAACAGGAUUAGAUACCCUGGUAGUCCCAGCCGUAAACAAUGAACACUAGGUGUAGGGGGUAUCGACCCCUCCUGUGCCGCAGCUAACGCAUUAAGUGUUCCGCCUGGGGAGUACGGCCGCAAGGUUGAAACUCAAAUGAAUUGACGGGG
RNAcentral lists this ribosomal RNA (397 nucleotides) under uncultured bacterium. RNAcentral describes it as "partial 16S ribosomal RNA". It matches the Rfam family "Bacterial small subunit ribosomal RNA", at positions 523 to 918 of the family's 1533-position model. The record is from RNAcentral.